CCUACGGGUGGCAGCAGUAGGGAAUUUUGCACAAUGGGCGAAAGCCUGAUGCAGCAAUGCCGCGUGAAUGAUGAAGGUCUUAUAGUUUGUAAAAUUCUUUUAUUUGGGAAUAAAGACUAAAGUAUGAAAUUACUUUCGUCUGACUUUUCCAUUUGAAUAGGUAUCGUCUAAUCCUGUGCCAGCAGCCGCGGUAAUACAUAGGAUGCAAGCGUUAUCCGAUUGUAUGGGGGGUAAAACGAGCUCAGGCGGGUUAACAAGUAUGGUAUGAAUGGCUUGUGCUUAACGUAAGUUUGUAUCAAAAACUGUUAAACUUGAGUGUAGUAGAGGGUGCUGGAAUUCCAGGUGGAGCGGUGGAAUGCGUAGAUAUAUGGAAGAACACCAGUGGCGAAGGCGAGAACUUAGGCUAUCACUGACGCUUAGGCUCGAAAGUGUGGGGAGCAAAUAGGAUUAGAUACCCGGGUAGUC
RNAcentral lists this ribosomal RNA (465 nucleotides) under uncultured bacterium. Its description in RNAcentral is "partial 16S ribosomal RNA". It matches the Rfam family "Bacterial small subunit ribosomal RNA", at positions 338 to 795 of the family's 1533-position model. The record is from RNAcentral.